Molecule: long non-coding RNA, 306 nt
Filed under: Malus domestica (apple)
Lineage: Eukaryota; Viridiplantae; Streptophyta; Magnoliopsida; Rosales; Rosaceae
Description: long non-coding RNA (MDOM_LNC012010)
Source: RNAcentral
ACUUCGUCGACGCUACAAGGACCCGCCAAGCUUACCUCACCACAAAGGUUAGUGCUUUAGCUAAUCUCGCCCAAACCCAUCAAAAUAUCGACGUCAAAUCGUUCGACAUUGCGGUUAAUCAGACCCAGAACCAGACCAAUCCGACCCAGAGCCAAACCAAUAUGACCCAGAACCAAAUCAACCAGACCAAUCCGACCCAGAGACAAACCAAUAUGACCCAGAACCAAAUCAAUGCGAGCCAGUUCAAAACCCACUUGGAUUCUCAGAACCCAGUUAAUUUUUCCCAAUCUGGACCAGUUUCUGCCC